This 254-nucleotide ribosomal RNA is filed under the name uncultured bacterium. RNAcentral's name for it is "partial 16S ribosomal RNA". It matches the Rfam family "Bacterial small subunit ribosomal RNA", at positions 103 to 353 of the family's 1533-position model. The record is from RNAcentral.
CGGGCGNGUAACGCGUGAGCAACCUGUCCUUCANAGGGGGACAACGGCUGGAAACGGCCGCUAAUACCGCAUGACAUAUCCGGAUGGCAUCGUCUGGAUAUCAAAGGAGAAAUCCGCUGAAGGGUGGGCUCGCGUCCGAUUAGCUAGUUGGUAGGGUAACAGCCUACCAAGGCGACGAUCGGUAGCCGAACUGAGAGGUUGAUCGGCCGCAUUGGGACUGAGACACGGCCCAGACUCCUACGGGAGGCAGCAUG